RNAcentral lists this ribosomal RNA (747 nucleotides) under uncultured bacterium. RNAcentral describes it as "bacterial SSU rRNA". It matches the Rfam family "Bacterial small subunit ribosomal RNA", at positions 1 to 795 of the family's 1533-position model. The record is from RNAcentral.
CGAUUAGAGUUUGAUCCUGGCUCAGAGCGAACGCUGGCGGCAGGCUUAACACAUGCAWKUCGAACGGGCUUCUUCGGAAGUCAGUGGCAGACGGGUGAGUAACACGUGGGAACGUGCCCUUCGGUUCGGAAUAACUCAGGGAAACUUGAGCUAAUACCGGAUACGCCCUUAUGGGGAAAGGUUUACUGCCGAAGAUCGGCCCGCGUCUGAUUAGCUUGUUGGUGGGGUAACGGCCUACCAAGGCGACGAUCAGUAGCUGGUCUGAGAGGAUGAUCAGCCACACUGGGACUGAGACACGGCCCAGACUCCUACGGGAGGCAGCAGUGGGGAAUAUUGGACAAUGGGCGAAAGCCUGAUCCAGCAAUGCCGCGUGAGUGAUGAAGGCCUUAGGGUUGUAAAGCUCUUUUACCCGGGAUGAUAAUGACAGUACCGGGAGAAUAAGCUCCGGCUAACUCCGUGCCAGCAGCCGCGGUAAUACGUAGGGGGCUAGCGUUGCUCGGAAUCACUGGGCGUAAAGGGCGCGUAGGCGGCUGACUUAGUCGAGGGUGAAAGCCCGUGGCUCAACCACGGAAUGGCCUUCGAUACUGGUUGGCUUGAGACCGGAAGAGGACAGCGGAACUGCGAGUGUAGAGGUGAAAUUCGUAGAUAUUCGCAAGAACACCAGUGGCGAAGGCGGCUGUCUGGUCCGGUUCUGACGCUGAGGCGCGAAAGCGUGGRGAGCAAACAGGAUUAGAUACCCUGGUAGUC